RNAcentral lists this ribosomal RNA (550 nucleotides) under uncultured bacterium. RNAcentral describes it as "bacterial SSU rRNA". It matches the Rfam family "Bacterial small subunit ribosomal RNA", at positions 355 to 896 of the family's 1533-position model. The record is from RNAcentral.
UAGGGAAUCUUCCGCAAUGGGCGAAAGCCUGACGGAGCAACGCCGCGUGAGUGAUGAAGGUCUUCGGAUCGUAAAACUCUGUUAUUAGGGAAGAACAUAUGUGUAAGUAACUGUGCACAUCUUGACGGUACCUAAUCAGAAAGCCACGGCUAACUACGUGCCAGCAGCCGCGGUAAUACGUAGGUGGCAAGCGUUAUCCGGAAUUAUUGGGCGUAAAGCGCGCGUAGGCGGUUUUUUAAGUCUGAUGUGAAAGCCCACGGCUCAACCGUGGAGGGUCAUUGGAAACUGGAAAACUUGAGUGCAGAAGAGGAAAGUGGAAUUCCAUGUGUAGCGGUGAAAUGCGCAGAGAUAUGGAGGAACACCAGUGGCGAAGGCGACUUUCUGGUCUGUAACUGACGCUGAUGUGCGAAAGCGUGGGGAUCAAACAGGAUUAGAUACCCUGGUAGUCCACGCCGUAAACGAUGAGUGCUAAGUGUUAGGGGGUUUCCGCCCCUUAGUGCUGCAGCUAACGCAUUAAGCACUUCGCCUGGGGAGUACGACCGCAAGGUUG